CAGUCGCCGCGGGAAUACGUAGGUCCCGAGCGUUGUCCGGAUUUAUUGGGCGUAAAGCGAGCGCAGGCGGUUAGAUAAGUCUGAAGUUAAAGGCUGUGGCUUAACCAUAGUACGCUUUGGAAACUGUUUAACUUGAGUGCAAGAGGGGAGAGUGGAAUUCCAUGUGUAGCGGUGAAAUGCGUAGAUAUAUGGAGGAACACCGGUGGCGAAAGCGGCUCUCUGGGACAACACUGACGCUGAGGCACGAAAGCGUGGGGAGCAAACAGGAUUAGAUACCCCUGUAGUCCCUGUCUCUUAUACA
RNAcentral lists this ribosomal RNA (301 nucleotides) under uncultured bacterium. RNAcentral's name for it is "partial 16S ribosomal RNA". It matches the Rfam family "Bacterial small subunit ribosomal RNA", at positions 509 to 808 of the family's 1533-position model. The record is from RNAcentral.